CGCCUUGCCAGCCCGCUCAGAAACUUAAAGGAAUUGACGGGGGCCCCGGCACAAGCGGUGGAGUAUGUGGUUUAAUUCGAUGCAACGCGAAGAACCUUACCUGGUCUUGACAUCCCGGAGACCCUUAGGAAACUAGGGGGUGCUUCCAUCUGGAAGAAUCUGGAGACAGGUGCUGCAUGGCUGUCGUCAGCUCGUGUCGUGAGAUGUUGGGUUAAGUCCCGCAACGAGCGCAACCCUUGCCUUUAGUUGCCAGCAGUUCGGCUGGGCACUCUAAAGGGACUGCCGGUGUUAAACCGGAGGAAGGUGGGGAUGACGUCAAGUCCUCAUGGCCUUUAUGACCAGGGCUACACACGUACUACAAUGGCCGAUACAAAGGGCAGCGACACUGCGAGGUGAAGCCAAUCCCGUAAAAUCGGUCUCAGUCCGGAUUGGAGUCUGCAACUCGACUCCAUGAAGUUGGAAUCGCUAGUAAUCGUGGAUCAGCAUGCCACGGUGAAUACGUUCCCGGGCCUU
Molecule: ribosomal RNA, 513 nt
Filed under: uncultured Desulfobulbus sp.
Lineage: Bacteria; Pseudomonadati; Thermodesulfobacteriota; Desulfobulbia; Desulfobulbales; Desulfobulbaceae
Description: bacterial SSU rRNA
Rfam family: Bacterial small subunit ribosomal RNA
Source: RNAcentral